Long non-coding RNA from Canis lupus familiaris (dog), 854 nucleotides. RefSeq lists it as uncharacterized. The transcript is spliced from 2 exons. The record is from RefSeq and is a predicted model, not a curated record. NCBI's taxonomy places the organism in Eukaryota, Metazoa, Chordata, Mammalia, Carnivora, Canidae.
UGUACUUCUGGGAACAUACUUCAAGGAAAUAACACAAAGGGCAAAAAGAUGACUAGUGUUGGGUUAUUUAUAACAGGAGGCGGCUGAAAAUAACAAGGGGGAAAUGGCCAUAGAAAGCUGGAGGUGACUACUGGGGGAAAUGCCUCUGGCCCUGGCAGUCCACAUUCAGGGGGGUACCCAACCGGGACCUGGGGAACGGCCGCCUCUGGCCCCAGCUGCAGCAAGAUGGAGUCCUGGCCACUUGUGGCCAGUCCCCAAAGCCCGGGCAGAGCUUCCCCUGGCUCUCAUGUGAUACCCCAGAGUGCUGUGGGCAUCGGGGCCCUGGCCUGAUACCUGCUGACCACACAGCUUCACCUGCCAGUGACAUAUGAGCCUGCAUGCAGCUCCCCAGGCCCAUGAUGCUGCGUGACAACUCUGGGCCUCUGCGUAGACACUCCGCCAGCCCAGAAGCCUUUCACCACAUGGACAUCCCAGAUUUUAUUUUGAAGUAAUCUCUACACGCAAACUGGGGCUUGAACUUGCAACCCAGAGAUCAAGAAUUGCAUGCUCUGCAGACUGAACCGGCCGGGCGCCCCCAAAGCCUGUGACUCAAGUCAGGCCACAACCCCAGCGAUGGGAGGAGUCUCCCCAGCUCCAGCCGCAGGGUGAGGGAGCUGGGCCAGCAGCAGUUGCCUGACCUGCCACAGCCGCACUGGAGGUUCCUAGAGCCCUCUGUCCCUUGGGCAGGGACUAUCCUGCAGCAGGUUGGCCGAAGCCCGGCCCAUGGGGACGCAGGUGCGGGGGGAGGUGGUCUGCCAGGCUAAAGCCCACAGCUGACCUGGGUUCAAAUCCUGCUCCAACAUUUUUCAAAUGUG